Molecule: ribosomal RNA, 1215 nt
Filed under: Lactiplantibacillus plantarum
Lineage: Bacteria; Bacillati; Bacillota; Bacilli; Lactobacillales; Lactobacillaceae
Description: bacterial SSU rRNA
Rfam family: Bacterial small subunit ribosomal RNA
Source: RNAcentral
CGGGGGGGGGGCCUAUAAUGCAGUCGACGAACUCUGGUAAUGAUUGGUGCUUGCAUCAUGAAUUACAUUUGAGUGAGUGGCGAACUGGUGAGUAACACGUGGGAAACCUGCCCAGAAGCGGGGGAUAACACCUGGAAACAGAUGCUAAUACCGCAUAACAACUUGGACCGCAUGGUCCGAGUUUGAAAGAUGGCUUCGGCUAUCACUUUUGGAUGGUCCCGCGGCGUAUUAGCUAGAUGGUGAGGUAACGGCUCACCAUGGCAAUGAUACGUAGCCGACCUGAGAGGGUAAUCGGCCACAUUGGGACUGAGACACGGCCCAAACUCCUACGGGAGGCAGCAGUAGGGAAUCUUCCACAAUGGACGAAAGUCUGAUGGAGCAACGCCGCGUGAGUGAAGAAGGGUUUCGGCUCGUAAAACUCUGUUGUUAAAGAAGAACAUAUCUGAGAGUAACUGUUCAGGUAUUGACGGUAUUUAACCAGAAAGCCACGGCUAACUACGUGCCAGCAGCCGCGGUAAUACGUAGGUGGCAAGCGUUGUCCGGAUUUAUUGGGCGUAAAGCGAGCGCAGGCGGUUUUUUAAGUCUGAUGUGAAAGCCUUCGGCUCAACCGAAGAAGUGCAUCGGAAACUGGGAAACUUGAGUGCAGAAGAGGACAGUGGAACUCCAUGUGUAGCGGUGAAAUGCGUAGAUAUAUGGAAGAACACCAGUGGCGAAGGCGGCUGUCUGGUCUGUAACUGACGCUGAGGCUCGAAAGUAUGGGUAGCAAACAGGAUUAGAUACCCUGGUAGUCCAUACCGUAAACGAUGAAUGCUAAGUGUUGGAGGGUUUCCGCCCUUCAGUGCUGCAGCUAACGCAUUAAGCAUUCCGCCUGGGGAGUACGGCCGCAAGGCUGAAACUCAAAGGAAUUGACGGGGGCCCGCACAAGCGGUGGAGCAUGUGGUUUAAUUCGAAGCUACGCGAAGAACCUUACCAGGUCUUGACAUACUAUGCAAAUCUAAGAGAUUAGACGUUCCCUUCGGGGACAUGGAUACAGGGUGGUGCAUGAUUGUCGUCAGCUCGUGUCGUGAGAUGUUGGGUUAGUCCCGCAACGAGCGCAACCCCUUAUUAUCAGUUGGCCAGCAUUUAAGUGGGCACUCUGGCUGAGACUGCCCGGUGACGACUGCAGGUAGGUUGCGGAAUGAACGGUCGAAUUCAAUCAUGACCCCCGUUUAAUUG